UACGGAGGAUGCAAGCGUUAUCCGGAAUGAUUGGGCGUAAAGCGUCCGCAGGUGGCUGUGUAAGUCUGCUGUUAAAUAGUGAGGCUCAACCUCAUAAAGGCAGUGGAAACUACACGGCUAGAGUGCGUUCGGGGCAGAGGGAAUUCCUGGUGUAGCGGUGAAAUGCGUAGGUAUCAGGAAGAACACCGGUGGCGAAAGCGCUCUGCUAGGCCGCAACUGACACUGAGGGACGAAAGCUAGGGGAGCGAAUGGG
This 253-nucleotide ribosomal RNA is filed under the name uncultured bacterium. Its description in RNAcentral is "partial 16S ribosomal RNA". It matches the Rfam family "Bacterial small subunit ribosomal RNA", at positions 524 to 776 of the family's 1533-position model. The record is from RNAcentral.